This is a long non-coding RNA of Mauremys reevesii (Reeves's turtle), 422 nucleotides long. RefSeq lists it as uncharacterized. The transcript is spliced from 4 exons. The record is from RefSeq and is a predicted model, not a curated record. Lineage: Eukaryota; Metazoa; Chordata; Testudines; Geoemydidae.
GGGAACUAGAGAGAAGCCAGAAGAACUGUGGACAAAGCUGCAUGUGGAACAGACUGUGACUGCCUGACAGCACAGGUUUCUUCAUUGUAAAAUCAACUUGUGAAGGGAGGAUAUCCAAUGCAUGAUGGCUAUCUCCUGUGGGUGAAGCACACAGGGAUACCUUCCUGACAUCCUGUCUCCCACACCCUGGCCUUGCACUGGGGAACUGCACCAGUCCCCCCACAAGGAGGAAUUCCAUGCCUGCUGAGGACAAGUUAUUGGAAAUAUGAUAAUAAAAUAAGAAAAUGAAGAAACAAUCAAACAUCAGUUCUCUGUGGCCCAGACUCAGACAAGUUUCAGUGGAACUACUAUUAUUCCAUGUAGCUCAGAUUCACUGACAUCAAUUAGACUACUUAUGUGCUUAAAGUUAGGCAUGUGCUUAA